GAACGCUGGCGGCGUGCCUAAUACAUGCAAGUCGAGCGAACAGAUGAGAAGCUUGCUUCUCUGAUGUUAGCGGCGGACGGGUGAGUAACACGUGGGUAACCUACCUAUAAGACUGGGAUAACUCCGGGAAACCGGGGCUAAUACCGGAUAAUAUUUUGAACCGCAUGGUUCAAUAGUGAAAGACGGUUUCGGCUGUCACUUAUAGAUGGACCCGCGCCGUAUUAGCUAGUUGGUAAGGUAACGGCUUACCAAGGCGACGAUACGUAGCCGACCUGAGAGGGUGAUCGGCCACACUGGAACUGAGACACGGUCCAGACUCCUACGGGAGGCAGCAGUAGGGAAUCUUCCGCAAUGGGCGAAAGCCUGACGGAGCAACGCCGCGUGAGUGAUGAAGGUCUUCGGAUCGUAAAACUCUGUUGUUAGGGAAGAACAAAUUUGUUAGUAACUGAACAAGUCUUGACGGUACCUAACCAGAAAGCCACGGCUAACUACGUGCCAGCAGCCGCGGUAAUACGUAGGUGGCAAGCGUUAUCCGGAAUUAUUGGGCGUAAAGCGCGCGUAGGCGGUUUCUUAAGUCUGAUGUGAAAGCCCACGGCUCAACCCGUGGAGGGUCAUUGGAAACUGGGAAACUUGAGUGCAGAAGAGGAGAGUGGAAUUCCAUGUGUAGCGGUGAAAUGCGCAGAGAUAUGGAGGAACACCAGUGGCGAAGGCGGCUCUCUGGUCUGUAACUGACGCUGAUGUGCGAAAGCGUGGGGAUCAAACAGGAUUAGAUACCCUGCUAGUCCACGCCGUAAACGAUGAGUGCUAAGUGUUAGGGGGUUUCCGCCCCUUAGUGCUGCAGCUAACGCAUUAAGCACUCCGCCUGGGGAGUACGACCGCAAGGUUGAAACUCAAAGGAAUUGACGGGGACCCGCACAAGCGGUGGAGCAUGUGGUUUAAUUCGAAGCAACGCGAAGAACCUUACCAAAUCUUGACAUCCUUUGACCGCUCUAGAGAUAGAGUCUUCCCCUUCGGGGGACAAAGUGACAGGUGGUGCAUGGUUGUCGUCAGCUCGUGUCGUGAGAUGUUGGGUUAAGUCCCGCAACGAGCGCAACCCUUAAGCUUAGUUGCCAUCAUUAAGUUGGGCACUCUAGGUUGACUGCCGGUGACAAACCGGAGGAAGGUGGGGAUGACGUCAAAUCAUCAUGCCCCUUAUGAUUUGGGCUACACACGUGCUACAAUGGAUAAUACAAAGGGCAGCGAAUCCGCGAGGCCAAGCAAAUCCCAUAAAAUUAUUCUCAGUUCGGAUUGUAGUCUGCAACUCGACUACAUGAAGCUGGAAUCGCUAGUAAUCGUAGAUCAGCAUGCUACGGUGAAUACGUUCCCGGGUCUUGUACACACCGCCCGUCACACCACGAGAGUUUGUAACACCCGAAGCCGGUGGAGUAACCUUUUAGGAGCUAGCCGUCGAAGGUGGGACAAAU
This 1463-nucleotide ribosomal RNA is filed under the name Staphylococcus xylosus. Its description in RNAcentral is "bacterial SSU rRNA". It matches the Rfam family "Bacterial small subunit ribosomal RNA". The record is from RNAcentral. Lineage: Bacteria; Bacillati; Bacillota; Bacilli; Caryophanales; Staphylococcaceae.